Molecule: transfer RNA, 65 nt
Filed under: Labidostomis ghilianii
Lineage: Eukaryota; Metazoa; Arthropoda; Insecta; Coleoptera; Chrysomelidae
Description: tRNA-Asp
Rfam family: tRNA
About the family: Transfer RNA (tRNA) molecules are approximately 80 nucleotides in length. Their secondary structure includes four short double-helical elements and three loops (D, anti-codon, and T loops).
Source: RNAcentral
AAAAAUUUAGUUAAAUCAUAACAUCAGCUUGUCAAGCUGAAAUUAUUAAUAACUAAUAAUUUUUG